UCAAGAUGGGCAAGUAAACAGAACAAAGAAUGGAUUACUGGAGACUGAAUUGUUUUCAGAGUGGGACACGUUCGUUCAGCAUGCUGGAAGUUGUGAUGGAAGCCUUUACAAUUUAUUGAAGCUCAAGAGUCCAAAAAGGAACUCAAAAGGAGCCACUUUCACACUGAAUGAGGUUCCUUGUUACCACUGGACCCAGCACAAUAAGGAUAUCAUCAUCGUCAUCACUGCAGCUAGGGUAUAAUGAAGAUGCGGAGAAACUGAGCAGGACCACAUAUGUCAGCACCCCAGGGUCAGCAAAUGCUGAACAGCCUCUACAUGAAGUCACCACAGUUGAAUACCCCCUCAGGACAUGGAGAAGAUCUAGGAGACCCAGGAUCUGCCAUCCUCAAUGUCAUUUCCUCCAGAUGAGUGACUAAGAUGCCUCAGUCUGAGGAUGACCUGGGAGACUGUCACAGUCCUGUGCCAACUGCUGGAGUAGGAUCUGCAACCAUCCUAUCCUGUAGGCAACGUCUGUGUGAAAUUUGUAGGCAACUAAUAGUUUCUCAAGGAUCCUCCAGGAUGUGCAGAGGAUAGCUGCUAGAGAACAGAUGGUAUCCAUACUCUUCCACUCCUGGCUGUCAAGAUGCCCACUGCAAGCCCAUUACAUCUGAACAAGGCAGAACAAUGAGAGUCAUAUUAACAGCGGGAAACUCGGGGAGAAGACAACCGGUAUUUUGAAGUACAGAAACUGAUCCUCAGGGUUCCCUACAUUGCCCAGACAAAGUGGGGCUGCAUCAUUGCAGUUUUGGCAUAUUCUCAAAACUUAGUAAUGACAAGCUUUCCCAAUAAUUUUUUGGAUGUUGCUGCUCAGGUUCUGAUUGAAAGCGUGGAAUCUCACCGAUAUAUAAUAAACACUU
Long non-coding RNA from Chiloscyllium plagiosum (whitespotted bambooshark), 896 nucleotides. RefSeq lists it as uncharacterized. NCBI's taxonomy places the organism in Eukaryota, Metazoa, Chordata, Chondrichthyes, Orectolobiformes, Hemiscylliidae. The record is from RefSeq and is a predicted model, not a curated record.